AUUUGUAAGAGUGAGUAUAACAACUAGAACCAAACCAGAUCUUAAAAGCCUAAGUAUUGAAUCUUUGUUAGAAGAUACAAAGACAAAGACUCAUACAGACUUCCACUACACCAAUAAAGCUUUGAGAAGCAAGAAGAAGCUUGGUUAGUGUUUUGAAGUAGAAUAUGACUUUA
This 173-nucleotide small RNA is filed under the name Arabidopsis thaliana (thale cress). RNAcentral describes it as "ATSL271860". The record is from RNAcentral. Lineage: Eukaryota; Viridiplantae; Streptophyta; Magnoliopsida; Brassicales; Brassicaceae.